UUUUAAGAUUAAGCCAUGCAUGUCUCAGUACUUGCUAUAACAAGGCGAAACCGCGAAUGGCUCAUUAAAUCAGUUAUGGUUCACUAGAUCGUACAGUUUACACGGAUAACUGUGGUAAUUCUAGAGCUAAUACGUGCAACCAGCUUACUCCCUUGUGGAGUAAGCGCAGUUAUUAGAACAAAACCAAUCCGGCCUUCGGGUCGGUAAAAUUGGUGACUCUGAAUAACCGAAGCGGAGCGCAUGGUCUCGUACCGGCGCCAGAUCUUUCAAGUGUCUGACUUAUCAGCUUGUUGUUAGGUUAUGUUCCUAACAAGGCUUCAACGGGUAACGGGGUAUCAGGGUCCGAUACCGGAGAGGGAGCCUGAGAAACGGCUACCACAUCCAAGA
This 387-nucleotide ribosomal RNA is filed under the name Macrobiotus hufelandi group sp. Its description in RNAcentral is "SSU rRNA". It matches the Rfam family "Eukaryotic small subunit ribosomal RNA", at positions 36 to 421 of the family's 1831-position model. Lineage: Eukaryota; Metazoa; Tardigrada; Eutardigrada; Parachela; Macrobiotidae. The record is from RNAcentral.